RNAcentral lists this ribosomal RNA (503 nucleotides) under uncultured bacterium. Its description in RNAcentral is "partial 16S ribosomal RNA". It matches the Rfam family "Bacterial small subunit ribosomal RNA", at positions 30 to 523 of the family's 1533-position model. The record is from RNAcentral.
AUUGAACGCUGGCGGCAGGCUUAACACAUGCAAGUCGAGCGGGGUGAUGGUGCUUGCACUAUCACUUAGCGGCGGACGGGUGAGUAAUGCUUAGGAAUCUGCCUAUUAGUGGGGGACAACAUCUCGAAAGGGAUGCUAAUACCGCAUACGUCCUACGGGAGAAAGCAGGGGAUCACUUGUGACCUUGCGCUAAUAGAUGAGCCUAAGUCGGAUUAGCUAGUUGGUGGGGUAAAGGCCUACCAAGGCGACGAUCUGUAGCGGGUCUGAGAGGAUGAUCCGCCACAAUGGGACUGAGACACGGCCCAGACUCCUGCGGGAGGCAGCAGUGGGGAAUAUUGGACAAUGGGGGGAACCCUGAUCCAGCCAUGCCGGGUGUGUGAAGAAGGCCUUAUGGUUGUAAAGAACUUUAAGCGAGGAGGAGGCUCUUUUGGUUAAUACCCAAGAUGAGUGGACGUUACUCGCAGAAUAAGCACCGGCUAACUCUGUGCCAGCCGCCGCCGUAA